CAUUUCUCUUCUUCCCCACAUCAGCUACUACCCGACCCGCUUCUUCCCUUUUGCUUCCGCUUCAUCCCCAUCCCACCGCCUCCCUUCCCCCCUGCUGCAGCCCUCCGCCGCCAUCCUUUCCUCGCCUAUUUGGCCUCUUCUCUCCGCCUUCUCUCACCCGGUUCUACCUAAACGACAUGCCCCCCUUAAUUUUUGUCCCUCUCUGCUCCUAGGGUUUCAAAUUUCAAUUCCAAUUCCAAUUCAUCAUUUGCCCUCGCAGUCGUUUCCCUGAAAUAUUCUAGGGUUUUUUUUCGCUCUCGAAAAAAGGUUCAGUUACUAUGGUACGGAAACAGCAAUUGGUUGCAUCCACAAUUUUUCCUUAUGGAACUGAACUCAUGUGUUUAGCUAAAUGCUUGCUUUAGUUAUGGAGCAUUAAUCAAUGUGCAAGAAUGCUGGCGUUGUUGCUGUUGUACUGUGGUCUUCCAUGCAUCUUGAUGGAAUUAUAGAGCAUUAAUUUAUGUCUACCUGAAUUGCAUUUGAAAAAGUUCAUAACUAAGAAGGCUUAGCCUUCCCAAGCAGGUCCCUUAAGUUCUUCCGUCUAUUUCUGUUAAGCUUUCAUUUAGAUGUAAUGAUCUUUAUGAUUUAGGUUAUAUCUGAUUUCAGGACAGAUUUUCUUUAUGAUUUUCAUUUUGAAUUGUUCAUGAUGCAUAUUGAUGGCUCUGAUAGUUAGCUCUUAGCGCUGUUUUUGGAAAAAGGAGAAAUAUUUUCCCUUCUCCCAUAGCCUCAGAAUGCAAUUCCAUUUUUCUGUCUCUUUGUUUGACUGUUAAUUUUGCAGUUCAGAUCUUAGGGCAGCAGCCCUGAAUGAUCGAUUGCAGAAACUUCUCAGAAGCAUAUGAUAUCCAGGCGGCUCAAUAGAUUUUGAGGCCUAAGGCUACAAAUUUAGGCAUAUCAAGUUCUCCAAAAUUUCUUUUGGAAAGGGAGUUAUCUCAACCAUGGAGGAGGAGCUAAGGAUGCUAGGCUGGUUGGUUCUUACGGUCAGUCUGAAAAUGUGAUGAGAAGCAGUUGAUGUAAUUGCUGUAGUUGGUGUGACUUUUGUUGUUGGUUAGAUUGCCUAUGCAACCGUGGUGUUGUUGUUUGGGGGCCUGUGGGGCUGCCCUUCCUGUGUAUAUAUACAUAUAAACUUUCAAGCCUCCAAAUUGAAGAAGCCCCUCUCUUUUCUUUCCUUU
Alnus glutinosa is the source of this 1205-nucleotide long non-coding RNA. RefSeq lists it as uncharacterized. NCBI's taxonomy places the organism in Eukaryota, Viridiplantae, Streptophyta, Magnoliopsida, Fagales, Betulaceae. The transcript has 2 exons. The record is from RefSeq and is a predicted model, not a curated record.